This 406-nucleotide ribosomal RNA is filed under the name uncultured bacterium. Its description in RNAcentral is "partial 16S ribosomal RNA". It matches the Rfam family "Bacterial small subunit ribosomal RNA", at positions 30 to 526 of the family's 1533-position model. The record is from RNAcentral.
AUUGAACGCUGGCGGCAGGCCUAACACAUGCAAGUCGAGCGAGCGGCGGACGGGUGAGUAAUGUCUGGGAAACUGCCUGAUGGAGGGGGAUAACUACUGGAAACGGUAGCUAAUACCGCAUACCAUCGGAUGUGCCAGGAUGGGAUUAGCUAGUGGGUGGGGUAACGGCUCACCUAGGCGACGAUCCCUAUGUGGUCUGAGAGGAUGACCAGCCAACCUGGAAUGGAGACACGGUCCAGACUCCUACGUGAGGCAGCAGUGGGGAAUAUUGCACAAUGGGCGCAAGCCUGAUGCAGCCAUGCCGCGUGUGGUAAGGAGGCCUUCGUGUUGUAAAGCACUUUCAGCGGUGAGGCGUUACCCGCAGAAGAAGCACCGGCUAACUCCGUGCCAGCAGCCGCGGUAAUAC